This 297-nucleotide unclassified non-coding RNA is filed under the name plant metagenome. Its description in RNAcentral is "partial contains 5.8S ribosomal RNA, internal transcribed spacer 2, and large subunit ribosomal RNA". The stretch from base 1 to 104 matches the Rfam family "5.8S ribosomal RNA", at positions 50 to 154 of the family's 154-position model. The record is from RNAcentral.
GAAAUGCGAUAAGUAAUGUGAAUUGCAGAAUUCAGUGAAUCAUCGAAUCUUUGAACGCACAUUGCGCCCCCUGGUAUUCCGGGGGCAUGCCUGUUCGAGCGUCAUUUCACCACUCAAGCCUCGCUUGGUAUUGGGCAUCGCGGUCCGCCGCGUGCCUCAAAUCGACCGGCUGGGUCUUCUGUCCCCUAAGCGUUGUGGAAACUAUUCGCUAAAGGGUGUUCGGGAGGCUACGCCGUAAAACAACCCCAUUUCUAAGGUUGACCUCGGAUCAGGUAGGGAUACCCGCUGAACUUAAGC